GAUGAAGAACGUAGCGAAAUGCGAUAAGUAGUGUGAAUUGCAGAAUUCAGUGAAUCAUCGAAUCUUUGAACGCACAUUGCGCCUUCUAGUAUUCUGGGAGGCAUGCCUGUUUAAGCGUCAUUAAACCUCUCUCAAGUAUGAUUACUUGGAUGUGAAGGAAGAGUACCUUAAACUUAAGGAGUGUUCUCCUUUGAAAUUGAUUAGCAGAUGGUAAUGUUAUUAAAUCCCUGAUGUUGUAAGAAAUAACAGUGGUUUUGUAGACUAUUAUCUAGCUUUAAAUUAUAAUUUUUAUUAUGGUUGACCUCAAAUCAGGUAAGGAUACCCGCUGAACUUAAGCAUAUCAAUAAGCGGAGGA
RNAcentral lists this unclassified non-coding RNA (355 nucleotides) under soil metagenome. RNAcentral describes it as "partial contains 5.8S ribosomal RNA, internal transcribed spacer 2, and large subunit ribosomal RNA". The stretch from base 1 to 120 matches the Rfam family "5.8S ribosomal RNA", at positions 35 to 154 of the family's 154-position model. The record is from RNAcentral.